UGGGGAAUAUUGGGCAAUGGGCGAAAGCCUGACCCAGCAACGCCGCGUGAAGGAAGAAGGCCUUCGGGUUGUAAACUUCUUUUAUCAGGGACGAAGGAAGUGACGGUACCUGAUGAAUAAGCCACGGCUAACUACGUGCCAGCAGCCGCGGUAAUACGUAGGUGGCAAGCGUUAUCCGGAUUUACUGGGUGUAAAGGGCGCGUAGGCGGGGAUGCAAGUCAGAUGUGAAAUCUAUGGGCUCAACCCAUAAACUGCAUUUGAAACUGAAUCCCUUGAGUAUCGGAGAGGCAGGCGGAAUUCCUAGUGUAGCGGUGAAA
RNAcentral lists this ribosomal RNA (317 nucleotides) under uncultured Clostridium sp. Its description in RNAcentral is "bacterial SSU rRNA". It matches the Rfam family "Bacterial small subunit ribosomal RNA", at positions 355 to 686 of the family's 1533-position model. Lineage: Bacteria; Bacillati; Bacillota; Clostridia; Eubacteriales; Clostridiaceae. The record is from RNAcentral.